CGCAUCUGUGCAUGCAGCAUAUCAAUAAGCGGAGGAAAAGAAACUAACAAGGAUUCCCCUAGUAACGGCGAGUGAAGCGGGAAGAGCUCAAAUUUGAAAUCUUCAAGGGUUUACCUUUACGAAUUGUAGUUUAAAGAAGUGUUUUCUGCUGAGGUUUUGGUAGAAGUUCUUUGGAAUAGGACAUCAUAGAGGGUGAGAAUCCCGUAUUUGACCAUUUACUUUUCAACUUUGUGAUACACUUUCAAAGAGUCGGAUUGUUUGGGAAUGCAGUCCAAAAUGGGUGGUAAAUUUCAUCUAAAGCUAAAUAUUGGCGAGAGACCGAUAGCGAACAAGUACCGUGAGGGAAAGAUGAAAAGAACUUUGAAAAGAGAGUUAAACAGUACGUGAAAUUGUCAAAAGGGAAGCGUUUGACACCAGUGUUGUUUUUCUGAAAAUCAAUUAAAGAACUGUUUAUGCUAAGCUGUUUAGUACUUUAUCAGCUUAUCUGUUUAGUUUUGAGCUUUUCUUUAAUGCACUUUUCAGUUAACAAGUCAACAUCAAUUUCUUCUGCUGUAAAAAAGCUUGAGGAAGGUGGCUUGAGAUUCGUCUUAAGUGUUUAUAGCCUCUUGCCUAUGCAGUCGGAGAGAUUGAGGUCUGCAGCGUAGAUCCUUCGGGGCUAAAUGCAUUUGUGCUAAGUUAUAGCAUUUUAUAGACAACUUGUUGACUAUGAUUUGUCUUGUAGCUUACUCGCUUAUGUUAUUUUACCUACGCUUAGGAUGUUGAUAGUCACAGCGUGUAC
RNAcentral lists this ribosomal RNA (778 nucleotides) under uncultured Neocallimastigales. Its description in RNAcentral is "partial large subunit ribosomal RNA". It matches the Rfam family "Eukaryotic large subunit ribosomal RNA", at positions 26 to 643 of the family's 3401-position model. Lineage: Eukaryota; Fungi; Neocallimastigomycota; Neocallimastigomycetes; Neocallimastigales. The record is from RNAcentral.